AGCUCAAAGACUGAAGAAAAAGAACUCCUAGAAUACCCCUUUAACCAUCCCAGGCUUAAGGAAGCCUAGGAAACCAAUGCUGAGCAUGUUUGACCUGGCAUUCCGUGCUUCCUGAUAGGCUAAACGUCCCCACUUGCAGCAAGGCUUGUAGCAGUAGCAAACAAGGGAUGCCUCCAACGACACAACAGCUGUGAGCCACUGAUGCAGCUGGAGUGAGGCCAGAAUUAAAUGUGUACAUGUAGCUGAACAAAGAGCAACAACAUCCAUCGUGUACCUGCAUUGUAAUCUGGUAACCUUUGAAAUCCUGCAGACGCUUCUUCUUCUCCUCCUCUUGUCCCAUGCUCACCCACGUGUCUGUAACCAACACAUUAGCUCCACUGGCAGCUUGGAGCGGAUCGUUUGUCAUAAACAGCUUGGUUCCAGACUGCGAGACAGGAAAAUGUGCAGAUAUCAGGGAUUUUUCAUGGCUACAGAUUAACAUAACAAUAACUCUGUAGGGAACAGACAACAUGAAAGAGACCUUGCUGUGUCCUUCAGGCUUUCAUUGACUCCCAAAUGAAUAUCCUGCGUGGUGAGAAAACAAGGAUGUCCUCCAAGUAAAGCAAAUCCUAUAAGUAUAUUAUAGAAAUGUAAAAUUAUAUUUUUAAGACUGGAAAAUUAUGUGGCACAAAAAAACGUCUUAAGUUUAGCAGCUAUGAGGCCAUUUAUCUCAUAAUUUCCUAAAAAAAAGGGAAAAAAUUGCAUCAUCCUUUCCAUCUAGAGAUACAUGUUAUUGUGAACAUAAUCUAUGAAGUGUUAGGGAAUGUUUAUUGGAAAGAUGUGGAAUAUCUCCUAUUAAAAAGAUCUG
Hyla sarda is the source of this 847-nucleotide long non-coding RNA. RefSeq lists it as uncharacterized. NCBI's taxonomy places the organism in Eukaryota, Metazoa, Chordata, Amphibia, Anura, Hylidae. The transcript is spliced from 3 exons. The record is from RefSeq and is a predicted model, not a curated record.